RNAcentral lists this ribosomal RNA (484 nucleotides) under uncultured bacterium. RNAcentral describes it as "partial 16S ribosomal RNA". It matches the Rfam family "Bacterial small subunit ribosomal RNA", at positions 30 to 507 of the family's 1533-position model. The record is from RNAcentral.
AUUGAACGCUGGCGGCAGGCCUAACACAUGCAAGUCGAGCGGAUGAAGGGAGCUUGCUCCUGGAUUCAGCGGCGGACGGGUGAGUAAUGCCUAGGAAUCUGCCUGGUAGUGGGGGAUAACGUCCGGAAACGGGCGCUAAUACCGCAUACGUCCUGAGGGAGAAAGUGGGGGAUCUUCGGACCUCACGCUAUCAGAUGAGCCUAGGUCGGAUUAGCUAGUUGGUGGGGUAAAGGCCUACCAAGGCGACGAUCCGUAACUGGUCUGAGAGGAUGAUCAGUCACGCUGGAACUGAGACACGGUCCAGACUCCUACGGGAGGCAGCAGUGGGGAAUAUUGGACAAUGGGCGAAAGCCUGAUCCAGCCAUGCCGCGUGUGUGAAGAAGGUCUUCGGAUUGUAAAGCACUUUGAGUUGGGAGGAAGGGCAGUAAGUUAAUACCUUGCUGUUUUGACGUUACCAACAGAAUAAGCACCGGCUAACUUCGUG